AGUAGGGGACAGCGGGCCCUACCACGAAGGCAGAAAGCCAAAGCUUUCGGUGAAAGACAGUGGAUUCCCUCUGCUCAGGGCAGGAGCAAGGCCUUCUCUACCUGUGCAUCCCACCUCACUGUGGUGGUGGUCUUUUAUGGAACAGCCAACUUCAACUAUGACAGACCCAGAGAAGGUUACUCCCUAGACAUGGAUAUCCUGGUCUCUGUGCUCUUCUGCGUUAUGACUCCCAUGUUGAACCCCAUCAUCUACAGCCUGAGAAACAAGGAGGUCAAGGGUGCCCUGAGGAAGCUGACUGGGGGGUAUGUGACCUCUGGUAACAUUCAUGUCUAGAUCACUGGUCUUCACACAGUGCUCCAGUGCCUAAGACGGACCUGGCAUAAAGCAGGUAUUCG
This is a long non-coding RNA of Suricata suricatta (meerkat), 395 nucleotides long. RefSeq lists it as uncharacterized. The record is from RefSeq and is a predicted model, not a curated record. NCBI's taxonomy places the organism in Eukaryota, Metazoa, Chordata, Mammalia, Carnivora, Herpestidae. The transcript is spliced from 3 exons.